GACGAACGCUGGCGGCGUGCUUAACACAUGCAAGUCGAACGGAAAGGCCCUGCUUUUGUGGGGUGCUCGAGUGGCGAACGGGUGAGUAACACGUGAGUAACCUGCCCUUGACUUUGGGAUAACUUCAGGAAACUGGGUCUAAUACCGGAUAGGAGCUCCUGCUGCAUGGUGGGGGUUGGAAAGUUUCGGCGGUUGGGGAUGGACUCGCGUCUUAUCAGCUUGUUGGUGGGGUAGUGGCUUACCAAGGCUUUGACGGGUAGCCGGCCUGAGAGGGUGACCGGCCACAUUGGGACUGAGCUGCGGCCCAGACUCCUACGGGAGGCAGCAGUGGGGAAUAUUGCACAAUGGGCGGAAGCCUGGUGCAGCCACGCCGCGUGCGGGAUGACGGCCUUCGGGUUGUAAACCGCUUUCGCCUGUGACGAAGCGUGAGUGACGGUAAUGGGUAAAGAAGCACCGGCUAACUACGUG
Molecule: ribosomal RNA, 468 nt
Filed under: uncultured bacterium
Lineage: Bacteria
Description: partial 16S ribosomal RNA
Rfam family: Bacterial small subunit ribosomal RNA
Source: RNAcentral